This is a long non-coding RNA of Mus spicilegus (steppe mouse), 254 nucleotides long. Lineage: Eukaryota; Metazoa; Chordata; Mammalia; Rodentia; Muridae. The record is from Ensembl.
GGCAUGCAAGCCAAGUAUUUUAUCAACUGAACCAUCUGCGUAGCCCACAAAUAAUUUCCAUAGUGUUUUACUUCUCAGGACUGGACCUUGAGGGUGGACCCACAUUAGGCACAUUUCAGCUUGGAAUGAAACAUAUACCUAUCUGAACAUUUUUGCAUCUGUGAAAACCACCUGAUUAAGCUUUAGAGAAUCACAUUAUUGAGGCAAUUACUAAAGCUGUCUAAACCAUAAAGAAGAGAGACCGCUAAGGAAGG